ACCUUGUCACAUCCUCCCUCGCGCCGCCGCAAUCCCCAACCUCGGGAUCUCCCCUCCCGAUCCAACCCCGCUGCCCGAGCGCUCGAUCGAUCCGCUACUGCCUGCGCCCGACACCUCGCCUCCUCCGAGGGCCGCGUCUAGCACCACAAGCCCCUCAAAGCCGAGACCGCAACCCCCUGUGCCCGUGCUCCGGUGACGUGAGCCCGACCAAGCCUCUUCCCGCUCCAUGGCCGCCUCGAGCAGACGACACCGGAGCUCCAACACCGCCAGACCCCAGGAGUCGUGUGGCUGUCGUCGAUGGAGGAGCUUCGUCUGUGCAUGAAGCUCGGCCGUUGUGAGCUUCCGUGGCCCCGCGACCCCGCUGUCUAAGCAGCAGCACCAGCCCACCUCAGGACGCAGGCUCAUCCGACCAGCACCUCGACAGAGGUCGGAGCCGGCGACCCCGCGCCGCCAGAGCCGCUCUAGGCCAGAGCCCCCCCGUCUCCAUCUCCUUCCCCCCAUCUCUCCCUCGUCUCAUCUCUCUCUUUGUCUUGCAGCAGCCAAGCCGCCCAUGGAGCUUCUCCACAUGUAGAGCUACAACGCCGUGCAAGCCACCUUGCUGGCGGGAACGGGACCCCCUCGUCCGGAUCCGUCGCGUCCUGCUAAAACCCCACCAUUCCCCCCUAGGAUACGCGCCGGAGAGCCGCCGGCAGCAAGCCACGCCGUCGCCCUGCAACCAAUGUCCCAGCCGUUGGAACAGAAGAAGAAUCUCUGUCUCCCGUUCCUGUUGGUUGAGGCACCGACAAGGUAUGGCUUAUCUUCAGCAAAACCGAUUAAUGCCACAAGCACUUCGUAGCCCGACUGGUUGGAGCGGUUCAUUUGCAACCAGUAAGUCCUUGGUUCGAGUCUAAGUGGAUCUGAAUUAUUGUGUGGUUUUCUUUAUUUUGCACAGACACACACCCGAGCACAUGGGCCGGAAACUUCCGCUGGCCGCAACCUAGUACAUAGAUUCGGCCAAUAGUCCUGUUAUUUUUUCUUUAAUUUCAGAAAAUGCAUAGUUUUUCAAAUGCUCGUAGAUUCUUAACCAUGCCCCGGAUCAGAGUGAUUUAAGUAUGUAACUUGACUAGAAUUUUGCGUAGGUUAAUAAUUUUGAACUCCCAUGCAUGAUAAAGACUAUUAACCUUGCUGUUUACCUCGUUUUGCGUGUCGUUUUGUGUUAAGACAGUUUAGGUCGUAGUUAUUUAACCGUAGCUCCAUUGGAGAUGAGCCAUAUAUGUAAAUGGACCAGAACAACGAGUAGAAUCACAUGAACAACUCCAUUUUUCCAUUUAACAAACAUAAAAUGUGACUAGGACAAAUCUGGACAGAUUUAGAAUUUAACGUGUGGGGUCAUUUCGAAGAUGCUAUAUAUCGUUUCCGGCCUCAUUUAAAAUGCCGAGAUAGGUAAUUUAAUUUGUGCUUCACCCCUUGUCAUGUUAACAACAUUUAAUAUUGUCGUGUUAAUAAACGGGAGUAAACUAAAUAAUUAAACGUGGAGUGUCGUCAAUAUGCAACUCAUUGCAUAUUGAACUUCACUUAAUGUGUAGUGUUUGCGUGAUGUGAAUUGCCAUGCCAUGCCUUGCAGAAUUGAACUGGACAUGCAUCAUAUUAGGGUGUGCAUCAUGUCGUGCAUUUGCCGUGGUGAAUAUCUUGUGUUGAUUCUUGUUUCGGGUUUGCUUCGUCUCGAUAGAGUUUCGACCGCUUCGGAGUGUGAGGAUCUGUUCGACUACGUCGGUUUGUUGGCUUCACGGAGUCGUUCUUCUUCUCAGCGGGAUCUCACGCGAGAUGACCAUUUCCCUAGAUACCAUUACUAUCAUUGCCAUGCUGGUUUUAUCAUUUCUAUCGCUAUGUCUCGCUGCCUACCACCUGUUAAAUAUCAGCCUCAACCUUCAACCUCUUCACAACCUAGCAAACCACUGAUUGGCUAUGUUACUGCUUGCUUUACCAUGUGUUGGCGAUGCUAGUUGCAGGUGCAGUUGCUUCCAUGUGAAAACAUGGGUUCCUUGUUAUAUCACCCUAUUAAUGCUAUUUUAACUUAAUGCACAUAUAUACUUGGUAAAAGGUGGAACGCUCGGCCUUUCUAGCCUGGUGUUUUGUUCCAGCUUUGCCCCCUUAGUUUCGGCUACCAGUGUUAUGUUCCAUAAAUGAGCGCUCCUAACAUGCUUGGGGUUGUUAUGGGGACCCCCUAGAUUCUCGUUUUGGGAUAAAGCUCUUCUAGCAAGGCCCAACAUUGGUACUAUAUUUUCCCAACAUAAUAGUUUUGUUAAUACUGAAAAACAUAGGGCGUCAUGAACCCGAGGAGUAAUUCUACAUAAUACAGGGAGGGCCAGUGCUGAUGGUGCUGGUCCAGAACAGAGCCGUUUGCGAGGCCAACCCGGGGCAACUAGGCUGAUGUCUAUCAGGCCACCGUACGCUGUGCUUAUCCGUCGUGUCGUGAGAACGAGAUACGUGGCUCCUAUCGGGACUGUCGACACGCCGGGUGGCCUUGCUGGACUUGUUUUACCUUUCUCAAGCGUCUUGUGCGAGGGAUUCCGAGGAUGCUUUGAGCUAACUCGAGGUUGAGGUUUUCCAAUAGGAAUCCGAGGAGAUCACGGGUUUCCCUGAUCGAGGUCAUUCCGUCGCAGCGUGUGGUAGUUUGUGAUGGACUAGUUGGAGCACCCCUGAAGGGUUAAAUCUUUCGGAAAGUCGUGCCCGCGGUUAUGUGGUAAUGUGGAAACUUUGUUUAACAUCCGGUUCUACAUAACUUGAAGUAAGCUUAAUUAAGAUAUGCCAACUAAGUGCGUAACCGUGAUUGUCUCUUUCGUGAGCUCCUUAUCCGACCAAGGACACGGUGGGGUUAUGUUUGACGUAAGUAGGUGUUCAGGAUCAUUCAUUUGAUGAACAAUAGUUCACGUCCGUUAUGCGUAGAUCACCCCUCUUAUUAUUCUUGUACUCGUAAGUUAGCCACCAAAUAAAUGCUUAGUCGCUUGCUGCAGCCUCACCACUUAAUCAUACCUCACCCAUUAAGCUUUGCUAGUCUUGAUACCUUUGGAAAUGAGAUUGCUGAGUCCCCUGUGGCUCACAGAUUACUACAACAUCAGUUGCAGGUACAGGUAAAGGAUAUUAAGACGUGAACGCGAUGACUAUUCAUUUGGAGUUUCUUCUUCUUUCUUCUUCGUCGAUCUAUGAUGGGUACCAAGCUGGCAGCGUGGGAUAGCAUGGAUGGACGUCGUUCUUUUAUCGUUUGUUUUCGUCCGUAGUCGGACCCUGCUCUUCUUCAUGAAGAUUGUAUGUAUUGUACUAAUGUGGCUCUGAUGUAGCUUGUGGCGAGUGUAAGCCAAUUCCAUAUACUCUUCUCUUCAGUACAUGUACUUGUAACGAUAUCCAUUCUUGCGAAACGACGAGAUGCGCUUCUAUCCCUGUCGAGGCCCUCGCGCCAAAAUAAGGAUAGGGUCGCAUCUUAGGCAUUACAAAAGGUGCUUGAUGAAAUGCCAGGUGCUUCAAUUUUG
RNAcentral lists this long non-coding RNA (3506 nucleotides) under Hordeum vulgare. Its description in RNAcentral is "long non-coding RNA (HVUL_LNC007241)". The record is from RNAcentral. Lineage: Eukaryota; Viridiplantae; Streptophyta; Magnoliopsida; Poales; Poaceae.